Long non-coding RNA from Choloepus didactylus (southern two-toed sloth), 749 nucleotides. RefSeq lists it as uncharacterized. NCBI's taxonomy places the organism in Eukaryota, Metazoa, Chordata, Mammalia, Pilosa, Megalonychidae. The record is from RefSeq and is a predicted model, not a curated record. The transcript is spliced from 3 exons.
CUUUAAAUUAAAAUUAGUAUGAAAUUGUUUUGUUGAUUUCAUUGUAGAGGUUAGUGAUAUUUUCAUUUGAUCUAGUAGUUUGUCUUUCUAGUCUAACAUUUUAUACUUAGCAAUUGAGAUGGGCAUGUAGCUCUCAAUAUAGACUGCUGUGGAAUUAAUUACUCCUUGACUGACCUUCACAUUAUUUUGUUUCUGAGGGUUUGUGCUACAUAGAUGAACACAAAGAUCUGUAUGAACCUUUGCGCUACCUUCUGGCUGUUGAGGAUGUUAUUUGAGCCACGUUUUAAAAGAAAUUAUCUGAACAUUUAUCUUCAAAACUGUUUACAAUCUCUGGCUGCACCUAUUUUCUUCCCAUCAUCUGUUUAGUUACAGUUCGAAGGCCAGAUGUGAAAAGUCGAACAGAAAUUUUGAAAUGGCAUCUCAAUAAAAUAAAGUCCGAUCAGUCUGCUGAUCCAGAAAUAAUAGCUCAGGGUACUGUUGGAUUUUCUGGAACAGAGUUGGAGAAUCUUGUGAAUCAAGUUGCAUCAAAGGCAGCUGUUGAUGGAAAAGAAAUGGUUACCAUGAAGAAACUAGAGUUCUCCAAAGAUAAAAUUCUAAUGGGUAGGUUUUCAUUGUGUUAGAGAAUAAAUAACAAUUCUUCUCCUUUUAUUUUUUACUUUGACAUUGUAUUCAUACAGCUAAAACCUAUGGUUUUGUUGAAUAUAAUCUUACAAAAGCGUAUAUUUUCUUGGCAAUACCAUCUUGUCAAC